GAUGAACGCUGGCGGCGUGCCUAAUACAUGCGAGUCGAGCGAACAGACGAGGAGCUUGCUCCUCUGAUGUUAGCGGCGGACGGGUGAGUAACACGUGGAUAACCUACCUAUAAGACUGGGAUAACUUCGGGAAACCGGAGCUAAUACCGGAUAACAUGUUGAACCGCAUGGUUCAACAGUGAAAGACGGUCUUGCUGUCACUUAUAGAUGGAUCCGCGCCGCAUUAGCUAGUUGGUAAGGUAACGGCUUACCAAGGCAACGAUGCGUAGCCGACCUGAGAGGGUGAUCGGCCACACUGGAACUGAGACACGGUCCAGACUCCUACGGGAGGCAGCAGUAGGGAAUCUUCCGCAAUGGGCGAAAGCCUGACGGAGCAACGCCGCGUGAGUGAAGAAGGUCUUCGGAUCGUAAAACUCUGUUAUUAGGGAAGAACAAAUGUGUAAGUAACUAUGCACGUCUUGACGGUACCUAACCAGAAAGCCACGGCUAACUACGUG
Molecule: ribosomal RNA, 497 nt
Filed under: uncultured bacterium
Lineage: Bacteria
Description: partial 16S ribosomal RNA
Rfam family: Bacterial small subunit ribosomal RNA
Source: RNAcentral